GACCAGACUCCUACGGGAGGCAGUAGUGAGGAAUAUUGGUCAAUGGGCGGGAGCCUGAACCAGCCAAGUCGCGUGAGGGAAGACGGUCCUAUGGAUUGUAAACCUCUUUAGGCGGGGAGCAAUGCCGGGCACGCGUGCCCGGAGGGAGAGUACCCGCAGAAUAAGCAUCGGCUAACUCCGUGCCAGCAGCCGCGGUAAUACGGAGGAUGCAAGCGUUGUCCGGAAUCAUUGGGCGUAAAGAGUUCGUAGGUGGCACGUUAAGUCUGGGGUUAAAUGCAGAGGCUCAACCUCUGUUCGGCACUGGAUACUGGCGAGCUUGAAUGCGGUAGAGGUAAAGGGAAUUCCCGGUGUAGCGGUGAAAUGCGUAGAUAUCAGGAGGAACAUCGGUGGCGUAAGCGCUUUACUGGGCCGUAAUUGACACUGAGGAACGAAAGCCAGGGUAGCAAAUGGGAUUAGAUACCCGCGUA
RNAcentral lists this ribosomal RNA (467 nucleotides) under uncultured bacterium. RNAcentral's name for it is "partial 16S ribosomal RNA". It matches the Rfam family "Bacterial small subunit ribosomal RNA", at positions 329 to 792 of the family's 1533-position model. The record is from RNAcentral.